UAAAAUAAGUUUAAAAAUUGGCUCGCGGUGAAUUAAAAUUAUUGACUUAAAUAGUUCUGCAUUCCGCACUGUAGCAGAAGAUUAUUUUGGACCGAGUUACGUUCGAAAUGAUUUGAGAUAUGAUUGAGUCGAGUCCUGUUUGAAAUUCUGUAAGGUUGGUUGAGCUGAAUUAUAAUUAAGACUCGUGAGUAUUGUGUCUGUAUACCUUAAGUGAGUUAAUUACGUAUUUCUAACCACUCGAGUUUUUGAAACUAAUGAUAUAUAAUAACGAUAUAACAAAAUUAUUUUUUUUAAAAAAAAAUUAACGGUAGAAAUAAAUUAUGAUGAAAUUAGUGAAAUAAAGCUGACGGUUUGAUGGGUACGUAG
Molecule: long non-coding RNA, 366 nt
Filed under: Ananas comosus (pineapple)
Lineage: Eukaryota; Viridiplantae; Streptophyta; Magnoliopsida; Poales; Bromeliaceae
Description: long non-coding RNA (ACOM_LNC006430)
Source: RNAcentral